Molecule: unclassified non-coding RNA, 324 nt
Filed under: soil metagenome
Description: partial contains 5.8S ribosomal RNA, internal transcribed spacer 2, and large subunit ribosomal RNA
Rfam family: 5.8S ribosomal RNA (bases 1-120)
Source: RNAcentral
GAUGAAGAACGCAGCGAAAUGCGAUAAGUAGUGUGAAUUGCAGAAUUCAGUGAAUCAUCGAAUCUUUGAACGCACAUUGCGCCCCUUGGUAUUCCAUGGGGCAUGCCUGUUCGAGCGUCAUUUGUACCUUCAAGCUUUGCUUGGUGUUGGGUGUUUGUCCCUCGGGACUCGCCUUAAAGUCAUUGGCAGCCAGUGUUUUGGUUUUGAAGCGCAGCACAAGUCGCGAUUCAAGGCUAUCCGCCCGCUUCCACAAGCCUUUUUCACUUUUGACCUCGGAUCAGGUAGGGAUACCGGCUGAACUUAAGCAUAUCAAUAAGCGGAGGA